GAUGAACGCUAGCGGCAGGCUUAAUACAUGCAAGUCGAGGGGCAGCAUGACUGUAGCAAUACAGUUGAUGGCGACCGGCAAACGGGUGCGGAACACGUACAGAACCUUCCUUCGAGCGGGGAAUAGCCCAGAGAAAUUUGGAUUAAUACCCCAUAGUACAACGGAGUGGCAUCACUUUGUUGUUAAAGAUUUAUCACUUGAAGAUGGCUGUGCGGCUGAUUAGGUAGUUGGCGGGGUAACGGCCCACCAAGCCUGCGAUCAGUAACUGGUGUGAGAGCACGACCAGUCACACGGGCACUGAGACACGGGCCCGACUCCUACGGGAGGCAGCAGUAAGGAAUAUUGGUCAAUGGACGAAAGUCUGAACCAGCCAUGCCGCGUGGAGGAUGAAGGUCCUCUGGAUUGUAAACUUCUUUAUAUGGGACGAAAAAAGGGUUUUCUAAACUCGUCUGACGGUACCAUAUGAAUAAGCACCGGCUAACUCCGUGCCAGCAG
This 495-nucleotide ribosomal RNA is filed under the name uncultured bacterium. RNAcentral describes it as "bacterial SSU rRNA". It matches the Rfam family "Bacterial small subunit ribosomal RNA", at positions 28 to 514 of the family's 1533-position model. The record is from RNAcentral.